Molecule: long non-coding RNA, 2115 nt
Filed under: Oncorhynchus mykiss (rainbow trout)
Lineage: Eukaryota; Metazoa; Chordata; Actinopteri; Salmoniformes; Salmonidae
Description: lncRNA (ENSOMYG00000071235.1)
Source: RNAcentral
AUGUAUAAUUAUUUGUGUAAAACUAACCAUGACUGUCUCAUCCUCUGGCUUCAGAACAGAAGUCCAAACUCUCGCGGUAUCUCAAUGUACGGUUGUUGUUGUUGUUUUAAGAAACAGAAGGGGGGGAAAAACACAACUUUUAUAGCGGAGCGCUUUCCACACACCCACCCCUUUCCACACACCCACCCCUUUCUACCCCCCCCCCCUUCUACACACCCCACCCUUUCCACACACCCACCCCUUUCCACACACCCACCCCUUUCCACACACCCACUCCUUUCAACACACCCACCCCUUUCUACCCCCCCCCUUCUACACACCCCACCCUUUCCACACACCCACCCCUUUCCACACCCCACCCUUUCCACACACCCACCCCUUUCCUUUCUACACACCCACCCCUUUCUACACACCCACCCCUUUCCACACACCCACCCCUUUCUACACACCCACCCCUUUCCUUUCUACACACCCACCCCUUUCUACACACCCACCCACCCCUUUCCUUUCUACACACCCACCCCUUUCUACACACCCACCCCUUUCUACACGCCCACCCCUUUCUACACGCCCACCCCUUUCUACACGCCCACCCCUUUCUACACGCCCACCCCUUUCCACACACCCACCCCUUUCCACACACCCACCCCUUUCCACACACCCACCCCUUUCUACACACCCACCCCUUUCCUUUCUACACACCCACCCCUUACUACACACCCACCCCUUUCUACACACCCACCCCUUUCCUUUCCACACACCCACCCCUUUCCACACACCCACCCCUUUCUACACACCCACUACUUUCUACACGCCCACCCCUUUCCACACACCCACCCCUUUCUACACGCCCACUUACUUUCCUUUCCACACACCCACCAUUUCCACACGCCCACUACUUUCCUUUCGAUAUGCCCACUACUUUCCUUUCCACACACCCACUACUUUCCUUUCCACACGCCCACUACUUUCCUUUCCACACGCCCACCCCUUUCCGCACGCCCACUACUUUCCUUUCCACACGCCCACUACUUUCCUUUCCACACGCCCACUACUUUCCUUUCCACACGCCCACUACUUUCCUUUCCACACGCCCACUACUUUCCUUUCCACACGCCCACUACUUUCCCUUCCACACGCCCACCCCUUUCCACACGCCCACUACUUUCCGUUCCACACGCCCACUACUUUCCGUUCCACACGCCCACUACUUUCCUUUCCACACGCCCACCCCUUUCCUUUCCACACGCCCACCCCUUUCCUUUCCACACGCCCACCCCUUUCCACAUGCCCACUACUUUCCUUUCCACACGCCCACUACUUUCCAUUCCACACGCCCACUACUUUCCUUUCUACACGCCCACUACUUUCCUUUCCACACGCCCACUACUUUCCUUUCUACACGCCCACUACUUCCUUUCCACACGCCCACUACUUUCCUUUCCACACGCCCACUACUUUCCUUUCUACACGCCCACUACUUUCCUUUCUACACGCCCACUACUUUCCUUUCUACACGCCCACUACUUUCCUUUCUACACGCCCACUACUUUCCUUUCUACACGCCCACUACUUUCCUUUCUACACGCCCACUACUUUCCUUUCUACACGCCCACUACUUUCCUUUCCACACGCCCACUGCUUUCCUUUCCACACGCCCACUACUUUCCUUUCCACACGCCCACUACUUUCCUUUCUACACGCCCACUACUUCCUUUCUACACGCCCACUACUUUCCUUUCCACACGCCCACUACUUUCCUUUCUACACGCCCACUACUUUCUACACGCCCACUACUUUCCACACGCCCACUACUUUCCUUUCUACACGCCCACUACUUUCCUUUCUACACGGCCACUACUUUCCUUUCCACACGCCCACUACUUUCCUUUCUACACGCCCACUACUUUCCUUUCCACACGCCCACUACUUUCCUUUCUACACGCCCACUACUUUCUACACGCCCACUACUUUCCACACGGCCACUACUUUCCUUUCCACACGCCCACUACUUUCCUUUCUACACGCCCACUACUUUCCUUUCUACGCGGCCACUUACUUUCCUUUCUACACGCCCACUACUUUCGACACGCCCACCCCUUUCCUUUAAACUGA